Triticum urartu is the source of this 967-nucleotide long non-coding RNA. RefSeq lists it as uncharacterized. The record is from RefSeq and is a predicted model, not a curated record. Lineage: Eukaryota; Viridiplantae; Streptophyta; Magnoliopsida; Poales; Poaceae.
GGGCUGAAAGCAGAAAAGGCCCAUUAUAGCGCUCAGCCGAGGGGCGAUCCUACCUGAGUGAAACCGUGUCUUCUGAUUGGUCGAACCAUCCUGCCCACGGAUCGCAAGUUUCAACCGUUCGAUUUGCCAAGAUCGGACGGAUGGCGUACAACCCCUAUCCUAUCUUCUUUCUCCCCUACCCCCGCAGCCACGGGCUACUCUUCCGCCGAGAAACGAGCCGCCAUUCCUUCCAGCCUCUUCUCCCAGUGCUUUCCUUCCUCCCAUCUGGCUGGGCGCAUCUCGGCGUUCCGGAACGCGACCACGACCGAGGGCCGACCCGUCGAGGCAUCCUUAUGCUCGUUGACCUGUCGGGCACUCCUCCUUUUCUGUCCAUCGUGCCGGCCUCCAGGAGGAAGACUUCUCCGGCGAGCCCGAGGUAUAGGAGCUCUGAGGCCGUAGCAAGGCAAGGACGGCCGCCAUGAAGUGCAGAUCGUCCCCAACAACCGGUGGUGCCGCGCUGGGCCACCGGAGGUGUGGGGCUGCGUCGACCCGGCGCCGAGGAGAUGUGUUGACCCGUCGCGGAGAUCUGUGUGGUGGUGGCCCCUCCCAUAGAGGGUUCGCUGCGAUGGGCUCCUAUUCCCGAAUGGCGGCGGUCAGCGUUUUCCGCACCCACCGUGCGUGCUGGAGGUCAAGGGCAUAGGGGCAGUGACAUGCAUGCUCACCAUCCUCAUCCACCGUUGCUUUUUUUAGUGUACACGGACGGUGGGGGUACCAUCCAGAUGGAGUGCGCAAGAUGUCCCGCGAGCGCUGGCCGAUCUCCAGCGAGUGCUUUAUGAGUAAUUUGUAAAUUUUAUUUUGGGGCGCAUUUUUCUUUUGGUGUCAUUUGUCUUUUUGUCAAUUGCAUCUAUUUUUCUUUUUUGACGGGAAUUGUAUUUUUGCUGAAUGAUAGUAUUAUAAAAAUAUUAAUAAAAUAACUUAUGUGUCGAAA